AUGAGGAUCCUUGGGGUAGGCAGCGUGUUGGAGGCCGCUCGGCCGGUGGCGGCGAUGGUGGUGGUGGAGUUCGUCUUCUCGGCUAUGCAGAUCUUCAUCAAGCUCGCGCUCGACGACGGCAUGGACGUCCGUGUCCUCGUCGCCUACAGGCCCAUGUUCGGCGCCGCGUUCCUCUGCCCCGUCGCCUUCCUCAUUGAGAGGAAGAAGCGGCCACCAUUAACCGUCAAGGUUGUGACAGGGUUAUUCUUGUGUGGACUGUUCGGAGUCACCAUGAACCAGAACCUGUUUGUGCUUGCCCUCAAGCUGACGAAUUCGGCGACCAUCGUUACAGCUCUCAGCAACCUCACCCCUCAAGCUACCUUCAUCGUCGCAAUCCUGACUAGGUCGGUCGUCAUAGUAAUCACAGAUUUCUAUAAAAUCUCAGUUCCUUUCUGGGUGCUAGUCACAGACUCACAGGCCCCGCUUGGAAAAUGGAAAAACAGGAUGGAGACUUUGAAGCUCAGAAAGCCUAGCGGUCAAGCGAAACUGGCGGGAACCCUGGUCGGGCUGGGCGGCGCGAUGCUGCUGACGUUCUACAAGGGCCCGGAGAUGAGGUUCCUCCACCGUCUGGCGCACACCGGGCUCAGCCACGCCAGCGGCGAUCACCAGCUCCGCCCGCAGCCGGCCGCGGGUUCUCGGAUUCUCGGCUCGUUCCUCGCCAUCGCCGGCUGCUUCACCUAUGCGAUCUGGCUCACGAUCCAGGCCAAGGUCGUCCAGGUCUACCCGUGCCACUACUCCAUCGCUGCUCUGGUGUGCGUCUUCGGCGCGGUCCAGUCGACGCUGCUCACGCUCUGCAUCCACAGAGACGCCGACCACUGGAGGCUCGGGCUCAACAUCAGGCUCUACGCGUCGGCUUUCGCGGGUAUCGUGGCGUCCGGGUCCGCCUUCCCGCUCAUGUCAUGGUGCCUGCAGAAGAAAGGGCCCCUCUACGUCGCCAUGUUCGGACCUCUCAUCAUCGUCUUCGUCGCGGUCAUGAGCUCCGUCGUCCUCAACGAGGCCCUGCACAUCGGAAUUGUUCUUGGUGCUGUGCUGAUCGUGGCGGGGCUGUACAUGGUGCUGUGGGGCAAGGUCAAAGAGGAAGAUGAACAAGAAGCCGAUGCGCCAAAACUUGUUGGUCAAAAGGACGUGCUGGGCAAGGAGUCCGUUCCACAGGCUAACCGUGAAGUUAAUGAGGAAAAUAACUUUAGGCUAGUCAUAGUGAGAGACUAG
Molecule: ribosomal RNA, 1248 nt
Filed under: Triticum aestivum (bread wheat)
Lineage: Eukaryota; Viridiplantae; Streptophyta; Magnoliopsida; Poales; Poaceae
Description: partial small subunit ribosomal RNA
Source: RNAcentral